GAUUAAUGCUAGCUGUGCGCCUAACACAUGCAAGUCGUGCGUGAUCAGAAAUUAGCUUGCUAAGUUCUGUGAAAGCGGCGAACGGGUGAGUAACACGUUGAUAUCUACCUCUCAUUCAGGGAUAACCUCGCGAAAGCGAGAUUAAUACCGGAUGGUCUCGAAAGAGUAAAGCUUCGGCGAUGAGAGAGGAGUCUGCGGCCUAUCAGCUUGUUGGCGGGGUAAAAGCCCACCAAGGCUAUGACGGGUAACUGGUCUGAGAGGACGGCCAGUCACAAUGGGACUGAGACACGGCCCAUACUCCUACGGGAGGCAGCAGUGAGGAAUUUUCCGCAAUGGCCGAAUGGCUGACGGAGCGACACAGCGUGGAGGAUGAAGGGUUUCGGCUCGUAAACUCCUUUUCUGAAAGAAUAAGGUCUGAAGUUAUUUCAGGAAUAAGCACCGGCUAACUACGUGCCAGCAGCCCGCGGUAAUGUAGUCGUGU
RNAcentral lists this ribosomal RNA (481 nucleotides) under uncultured bacterium. Its description in RNAcentral is "bacterial SSU rRNA". It matches the Rfam family "Bacterial small subunit ribosomal RNA", at positions 28 to 535 of the family's 1533-position model. The record is from RNAcentral.